GACGAACGCUGGCGGCGUGCUUAACACAUGCAAGUCGAACGGAAAGGCCCUGCUUUUGUGGGGUGCUCGAGUGGCGAACGGGUGAGUAACACGUGAGUAACCUGCCCUUGACUUUGGGAUAACUUCAGGAAACUGGGGCUAAUACCGGAUAGGAGCUCCUGCUGCAUGGUGGGGGUUGGAAAGUUUCGGCGGUUGGGGAUGGACUCGCGGCUUAUCAGCUUGUUGGUGGGGUAGUGGCUUACCAAGGCUUUGACGGGUAGCCGGCCUGAGAGGGUGGCCGGCCACAUUGGGACUGAGAUACGGCCCAGACUCCUACGGGAGGCAGCAGUGGGGAAUAUUGCACAAUGGGCGGAAGCCUGAUGCAGCAACGCCGCGUGCGGGAUGACGGCCUUCGGGUUGUAAACCGCUUUCGCCUGUGACGAAGCGUGAGUGACGGUAAUGGGCAAAGAAGCACCGGCUAACUACGUG
RNAcentral lists this ribosomal RNA (468 nucleotides) under uncultured bacterium. RNAcentral describes it as "partial 16S ribosomal RNA". It matches the Rfam family "Bacterial small subunit ribosomal RNA", at positions 28 to 507 of the family's 1533-position model. The record is from RNAcentral.